UUAUUAGAGUUUUUAGCCUAGUUUUGUGUCCUUGAGUCUUGUUUAAUAUUUUUGAAUUAAUUUAGAAUAGAUUAGCAAUCCCUCCUAAUCCCCGGCCUAGAACGAUACCCUACUUACAUCUAUACUACAAUUGUCAAAAAGAGGGUUUAAUUUGUGUGUCAAGUAAUUUUCGCACCAUGGGCUUAUAUGUUGGUUUUGGGUUUCGGGGCCCAAAAGCGUUUUGGUCCAAAAGGCCCAUUAUGUUUAAGUUGUAUGACAACAAAAACAAAAUGGGCAAAUUAGCCCAAUAACAAGGAGAGGCCGGCCAUUAGGGUGAAUGGGCAAGUUUGCUUAAUUACAAGUUUGCCACUCACCAAAGAAAAUGUUAUAAAAGCAACUUUAUAGCAAUUUUCUCAUUAGGGGUUUUCUUGUUGAAAUUGGGUGAAACAUUUUCUCCAUUUUCUUCUAAGGAGGCCGGCCACUAAGGGAAGGGAUAUCUAGCAAUCUCUUCUUCCCUUAGUCAUCCAUUUCAUCUUCACAAGAUACAACCUUGGUGAAGAGACUUAGAGACAUCAAGCUUUUGGUGUUUUGGAGAACAAAUCCUUAUUUCCUCAAAUCUCCAAAUGAGCACUAAAGGGAGGAAAACACAAGGAGGAUUCAAGGAGCUUGGAGGUGACUUGAAGGCCCUCCACUUGGGUGAAUCCCUUGUGUAAACAAGGAUGAGCUUCAAGGGUAAAGAAACUCUAAAUCUUUACUUUUCUUUAAUGUUGUUAAAGAGUUUAUUUUGGUUCACCAUAUACUAGGCUUUGAAAGUCAUGAGUUUUAUGAAUUGUUUUUGGAUGCAUGCCUACUUUAAAGUGUUAAUAGCUUGCAUGUGUAUUCAAAUGUUCAUACUUGUUCUUAGCUAGGUCAAAAUUUUUCCUUCACUAACUAGCCUAUUUCACCAUUUAAUUCACCUGAUUUCGUACCUAGUUUGAUUUAGUUUUGCAAUCUGUUCAAUUUAAUUAAUUUCGUUCAAAUCAACCCCCCCCCCUUUUUAUUAAGUGUGUUAGAUUAUUUAGAAAAGUGUUUAAAUCUGUCCAAGUUUUGAGUCUUCAUAGUCUUAAAUUCGUCUAAAUCACUCCCUAGAGUCUAUUUUGAGCCCUUUUAACUUAGUUUUGCUGUUUUGAGUCAAUUUGGUCAGUUUUGAGUCUUAAGAGUCUAGUUUUCUGUUUUUGAGUCAAGUUUAGUGUUUUAAAGUUUAAAUUGAGUAGAUUAGCAUCCCUUUUAAUCCCCAGCCUAAAACGAUCCCUACUUACAUAUACUACAAUCAUAGGGUUUUAAUUUGAGUGUUAGAUAAUUUUCACAUCAAUUCUGCCACUCUUGAGAAGCUCGUCACCAGCCUCUCUUCUUCUAAGAGAAAGAAAAAGGUUGCUAAUUCUGAGUCUGCCAAGCCUACUGUUGUGAAGGAGGCUCAAUUCUCACGCCUUAGUCCUGAGAUACUUCCAGAAUCAACACAUGACACGGGAACAUAGGGGACAUGGUAACAUAUGUACAAAAUACACAAUAAAAUAUUAGAAUUAAUACCUCAAAAUACGCAUGAAAGUGGGUUCUCUCCCACAAAAUAUAUACAAGUUUGUAUACCCGAAGCACACAGCCUUCACUAGGGCCAAGACAUGUGCUCAAGCUCUCAAAUAUAAGUCUAAAAAAUAAUACAAGGAAAGGUAAAAGGGUAACCUAGUCGCUCUAGCUCUAUGACCUCUAAUCUGCUACCUCACUAGCUUCUCGUAUCUACUCAAGCCUUCCUCUACAAAUUAGCCUCUACACUGUGGGAAUGGUGCACAGGGUAAAAAACAACCCAAAUAAGUUGCGAUAUUCAUGUGAGUAACGAUAAUCCAAUGUAUGUGGUGUUCAUAAAAAAAAUCCAUUGAUCUCAGUUAUAAAAUCAUAGUCAAACUCGUUCGAAAUCUUGAAAGAGUCACCUAGACAUCCAACAGGUUUUUCUAAAUCAAACCACAAAGGUUCUUAAUCUACAGUUCAUAAAAUACACUUAAAAUAGGGCUAGAGAGAUGCCAUUUGGCGGAAGACUACAAUAAGUAACUAAGAAAGAAGUAGCCUUUCAUAGCAAAUUAACCAAGCAGAAGUAGACCUGGCAAUUUCUUACACGACACGUAAAUGACACGAAAAUAACGAGUUUCGGGUCGUUAUUGGGUCACACGAUAAAAACCUGUUAAUAACAGGUCCUUAACAGGUUUACACGAGAGUGGAACGUGCGUAACCCGUUUCAACACAAUAAAAAAAGAAGUUAUUUUGAUGAUUUUAAUUUUUUCAACUACUAAAAAAACUUACUAUAAAAUACAAUAGAUAUAAUAGAUAUGUACAUAUUGUUUAUUAAU
This 2354-nucleotide long non-coding RNA is filed under the name Malus domestica (apple). Its description in RNAcentral is "long non-coding RNA (MDOM_LNC003862)". Lineage: Eukaryota; Viridiplantae; Streptophyta; Magnoliopsida; Rosales; Rosaceae. The record is from RNAcentral.